UUUAUAUUUUUGAACAUUAAAAACAAUGGAUGCAUGGUACCCCGCAAUAUAGAGACUGACAGCACUUGUAAAAUGCAGUAAAUAUCACUGAGACAAAUAAUAAGAAUGUCAGAGGGAAGAAGAAAUGAAGCCAAGUGCUAAUAAGUACAAUAUAGCUUAAAUUAAAAGAUUAACAGGAGAAAAUUUUCAAAUGAUAAUUUUCUAGGAAAAGGAGAUAACUCAGUUUUUGUCAGGUUAAUUUACAAAGUGAUGGGCUUGAGUGAAAAAAAAUACCAAAUUCAAGGGGCAGAAAAACCCAGUGAUUAAGUCCACAAAUCCUAGGUUAAAAACACCUGGGCUGUAAUUCUAGAUCUGCUACCUAUUUAUCAGAAGUGUAACCUUGAACAGCACACUCAACUCCUCUUAACCUCAUUUUUCUGUACAAUAGAAAUGACAAUAAUAGUACCCCAUAGACUUAAAGAAUCAAAAGUGUAUGUGCAUGCCUGUGUGUGGCUGGGAGCGUGGAAGAGCAUCUGGAGAAAGAGCACUCAGAAUAGCAUUUGGUCCAAAGUAGCUAUUAUGGUCGAAUGUAACAGUUUACUGUUAUUAGAACUAGGGUAAUAUUCUACAUAAUUAUACUUUCUCUUAUGUCUUAUUAUAUAAAGGUGCAUCAUUUCUUGGCACUACUCUAUUACAGUGUCUGCACAGUUUGGAGUAACCUUCCUGGAAAAUACAUAUUUAUGUAACAUAUGAAUUCCUCAUCCCAUGUUUUACUAAAUGAGUGAGCCCUUUUCCAGAAAUGUAAAAUUGAUAGGAUUGCUUCUGGGGUUUACUUGAGCUGAACACAAGUACACUCAGAAGCAGAGGCUAAAACAUACAGCAGGUCCUUGGUCAUUUUGUUUAACGUUAUUUUGUUAUAACACUGAUGGAAAAAAUCGAUUUCCAGCAGAGGCCAAUGUCUAUGUGGAAUUGGCACGUUCUUUCCAUGUCUAUGUGGGUCUUCUCUGGGUACUCCCGUUUCCCUCCACUUCUCAACUCUCUGUGUGUUGGGUGAAUUGGCAUGUCUACAUAGGCCCUGCUUGAGUGAUUGUGGUUGGGUAUGUGAGCGCGCCCUGCGGUAGGAUGGCUUCCUGAAGAGAGCUGGUUUACACCUCAUGCCCUGAGCUCCUGGUGUAGGAUCUGGCCACCUGUGAUCCUGAACUGGAGUAAGGAGUUUUCAAUAACCUAUGGACACCGUUGAGGACUCAUUGAAUGUGGCUAUAAGUGUGGUCAAGUAAUGAAAACUGAUCAGCUGAGGGAGGAAAAAGACAAAAGUGGAUGACCAAAAUGAAGCUCCAGAAUCUUUCGAGGACUGCCUAUGUUUCCUGUUUUGGAUUAGGAAAAUGUGGCACAUAUACACCAUGGAAUACUACACAGCCAUAAAAAAUGAUGAGUUCAUGUCCUUUGUAGGGACAUGGAUGAAACUGGAAACCAUCAUUCUCAGCGAACUAUCGCAAGGAUAAAAAACCAAACACCGCAUGUUCUCACUCAUAGGUGGGAACCGAACAAUGAGAACACGUGGACACAGGAAGGGGAACAUCACACUCCGGGGACUGUUGUGGGGUGGGGGUAGGGGGGAGGGAUAGCCUUAGGAGAUAUACCUAAUGCUAAUGAUGAGUUAAUGGGUGCAGCACACCAACAUGGCACAUGUAUACAUAUGUAACAAACCUGCACAUUGUGCACAUGUACCCUAAAACUUAAAGUAUAAUAAUAAUAAAAUGUAAAAAAUUAAUUAAUUAAUUAAAAAAUAAACAACAAAUUUAAAAAAAAAAAAGAGAUACCCCCAAUACACUGCCUAUAAAUUAAGGUUAAGUGACUUUGAAUUUGUUUUGCUGUUGUUGUUUAUAAACAAAAGAAUAUUGUCUAAAACCUGUUUGAAAAUAUAAACUGUAUAAAUUAUUAAA
This is a long non-coding RNA of Homo sapiens (human), 1922 nucleotides long. RefSeq lists it as uncharacterized. The record is from RefSeq and is a predicted model, not a curated record. The transcript has 3 exons. NCBI's taxonomy places the organism in Eukaryota, Metazoa, Chordata, Mammalia, Primates, Hominidae.